This 2973-nucleotide long non-coding RNA is filed under the name Trifolium pratense (red clover). RNAcentral's name for it is "long non-coding RNA (TPRA_LNC004341)". Lineage: Eukaryota; Viridiplantae; Streptophyta; Magnoliopsida; Fabales; Fabaceae. The record is from RNAcentral.
AAAAUAUAAUUAAUAAAAUAGAAAACGAAAGAUGCUUCUCACAAACGCGACCCUCUCCCUCAACACGGACAAAACCGAACCCUAAACGCCUCUCCGUCGCGAACUUCUCCCUCUUUGCAACAAAGCCCUAAACGCCUCUCCACGAAUCCCCUCUCUCCGAUGCCUCUCGGCGAACCUUCCUUCCUCUGCGACGAAAUCCUUUCUACUACCACCGGUGACUUUGUUCUUCCGCCUCGUUGUUCAGAGUUUUCAAGGUUAAAUCGGUUUUCCUUUCGAUUCUAGUCUUCUCAUUCUUCAAUAGAUUCUGAUUCUAAUUUUCCUUUUGUUUUGCUUCAUUUUGCUUUCAGAGUUUUCAAGGGUUUUUCAACAGUUCUCUUCGUUGUUUCCGCCAUCAUUACGUUCAAGUCUUAAUCAAUAUGUAUCCCUAUUUCUUCAGUAAGUAGAUCCGAACUAUGUUUAUCUCAAUCUUAAUUUUCUAUGAUGUGUGAUACUGUGGUUUCUAAGCUUCGAUUUGGAAUCUGGUAGUUCUGUCCCGAAUUUGCGAUUAGACAAUUUUUUCCCACGUUCUUAAUGCUUGUAGAUUUCUCCACACAUUUAGUUAUCAGUAACUUAUUUAACACCAGUGAUAAUUUAUUCUAGUUAAAUAUAUGAAAUAAGGUAUAAAGAGGUGCUUUUGGUAAAGGUACUUUAAUCUACUGUUCAAUAUCCGCUAAUUUUUGUCAAAUAGAGUCAUACUCUCGUGGAAAUUUGUCUUUGAAAUAACCGAAAUCCCUAAUUUUAUCUUUACCAUUCUGAUUGUAGGAAACUCUCCAGUGUAUGUACAUGUUUUGGAUAUAGAGAUUGGGAACAUGUAGGAAAGCAUUCUAAAUCUGAAUUACCACUUUUGAUGGUUAUGUAAGUUUAUAAUAUAUUUUUGUUGGAUUGCAUACUCUUUAUUUGAUAGNNNNNNNNNNNNNCAUGUACUGAUUGCUUGUAGAAUUUUUGCUUGUGCUUUUUCUCUUCUAAUUUGGUAGUUUAGAAGCAGUGAUGAUUCUUAUGGACGAUUGUACUUUUUAGCAAUAUUGUGAUCAGAAUUUUGUAUUCUAUGUAGGUUAUACAUUUUAUGGAUAUGGUUAUACUUGAAGAACCAAUAGAGGGGUAUCAUUAGUUGAAGCUUGUUUGGAAUCUUCAUUUUUAGUUCUCUUCAUUGACCAACUUAUUAAAAUGAUAUACUAUUCUCAAGUUCUAUCAAUAGACAGACAUUGAUUAUUAUCAUAACUUUCAGGAUAUAUUACAAACUCAAUGGCACUAAGGAUUGGUUGCUUUAAUCAAAGGAAUUUUCUAUUUGUCAUGCGAGAAGUUAAAGUUUGAAAUAAUAUGGUUGGUCUCUUGAACCCUUAAGUUAGCAUGUGAAAAAUUUAAAUUGAACGUGAUGUAUUGUCAGACACUAUUUAUUGUGAGUAUAUAAGUUUUGUUUGUCUUUAGCUUUAGAGCAUACCCUUUUGUUUGUCUUUAGUUAGCAUUUGGUAGAAUUAGAAAAUGUGUCUAAUGCUUAGUAUAUAUCAUAAGUAAAACCGAUACUAUUCUUUGGCACUGAUCUAUUGAUUUGUUCUUUUCUAUUGUGAUUCUUUCUUAUCUUGUAGACAUUUCCUGUUAUGUUUUUAUGGAAUAAUUGGCAAUUGGCAUGACUUAGUUUUUGCAAGGAGUUGAAAAAUUUAAGAGUUAAAGGUAAUAUCUAUAUCUUAUAUAAAGAUCUUUCUUGAUUGAAUCUUCCUGUAUAUUAAGACUUUAGAAGUUUCACCACGGAGGUGAUGGUGAUGAGUUUGUCAGAAUAUUAUUUCAUCAUUUGAAAAGAUUGUGCAGUAUAGAGAGGCUAGAUAGAACACUAGUAAGGUUUAUGAUGCCAUCAUCAACCGAAAAGUAUGUAGAUUGGAAUAAAGACUCAUUUUUUAAAUUAAUUAUAUCUUUAUAGGUGAAAAAAAGAUCAUAUCUAACUCUUAAAUGCCACCAUCUUUGUUUCAUUGUAGAGAGGGCUGAUGUUUAAGUUUCAAUUUCCCAUCUUGGUUGAUUGCUAGUUAACUAUGUGUUGGUAAUCAUUAUCAUAGUAUUUUAAAGAGAUUUAUUCAAUUAUCAUACUUGAGUACCGCUGCUAGUUGUCUUACAGCAAUAGGUUGGAUAUUAUAUAUAGGGAGCUUUUGUAACAUUACUCUUGUGCUUCCAGAGACUGGUUUAUGAAUGACUUUUGGGGAUUUGAGAUUUUGAUUUAUGCAGAAAUUUUGGGACUGUUUUAUUCAUGUAUUAAUUAAGCUUGUUUUGUUGUCUGUUUUAGAUCAUCAAACACUGCUACAAAUGUCAUUCAGACACCUUCACAAGCUAAGUGAGUUUGAUUCUAAUAAAUCUCCGACACGAUCACAUCAGUCAAUUAUUUAUUCAAUGCCUUUCACUUCUCUUCACUUUUUUACAAGAAGAUUUGAGAGGUUAGACUAUGUGUGGGUUUAAAAUAAUAUUGAAUGUUGUAUUGAAAAGUGUGGAUGUGUUGAUUAUUUCAAUUGAGUAUUAUUGAAAUUCCUUGAUAGCUUUGUGAUAUUGGUUGUUGUUGGCUUUAUUUUCUCUAAGUUGUCAAUUUUAUUAAGCUUUUUUGUUGAGCUGAGUUUAUCUUCUUUUUUUUUCCUUUUCAGAAUUAAAAGGUCUGAGGACAUCCCUGUGGAAAUAUGGAGAGGAUUGAUUCAACCCAGCGAUUUUAAGAAUCGUCUCCUGAAACCAACUUAUGAGUUAACUGUUAAAGGAGGAGACAAAGUUAAGCAUACAAAUUGAAGGAAUUGAGGUUACAAGUAUAAAUUUGUAACUUUAUGGUUUAUAAUUGAUGAUUCUAGGUAUAUAUUAACUCUACUAUUAUGGAAUGAUUUUAGUAUAUAUAAGUAUAAUUUAUGCUAUUAGGUGUAUGAUACUCUAUUAUUAUAGUAUGAUGAUUUUAGUGUAGAAGUAUAAUUUUNN